AUUGAACGCUGGCGGCAUGCCUUACACAUGCAAGUCGAACGGCAGCACGGGAGCAAUCCUGGUGGCGAGUGGCGAACGGGUGAGUAAUAUAUCGGAACGUGCCCAGUCGUGGGGAUAACGUAGCGAAAGCUACGCUAAUACCGCAUACGAUCUAUGGAUGAAAGCGGGGGAUCGCAAGACCUCGCGCGAUUGGAGCGGCCGAUAUCAGAUUAGGUAGUUGGUGAGGUAAAGGCUCACCAAGCCGACGAUCUGUAGCUGGUCUGAGAGGACGACCAGCCACACUGGGACUGAGACACGGCCCAGACUCCUACGGAGGCAGCAGUGGGGAAUUUUGGACAAUGGGCGCAAGCCUGAUCCAGCAAUGCCGCGUGCAGGAUGAAGGCCUGGUGUAA
Molecule: ribosomal RNA, 392 nt
Filed under: uncultured bacterium
Lineage: Bacteria
Description: bacterial SSU rRNA
Rfam family: Bacterial small subunit ribosomal RNA
Source: RNAcentral